This 314-nucleotide ribosomal RNA is filed under the name uncultured bacterium. RNAcentral's name for it is "bacterial SSU rRNA". It matches the Rfam family "Bacterial small subunit ribosomal RNA", at positions 160 to 507 of the family's 1533-position model. The record is from RNAcentral.
UGUCUAAUACCGCAUAUGGUCUUCGGAUUAAAGCUUCGGCGGUUUGGGAAGAGCCCGCGUAAGAUUAGCUAGUUGGUGAGGUAAUGGGCUCACCAAGGCGACGAUCUUUAACUGGUUUGAGAGGAUGAUCAGUCACACUGGAACUGAGACACGGUCCAGACUCCUACGGGAGGCAGCAGUGAGGAAUUUCCACAAUGGGGCGAAAGCCUGAUGGAGCAACGCCGCGUGCAGGAUGAAGGCUUUAGGGUUGUAAACUGCUUUUAUAUGUGACGAAUAUGACGGUAGCAUAUGAAUAAGGAUCGGCUAACUCCGUG